CCAACCAAUUCGUAUUCCAAUUAAACUAAAUAAGUGCAGACUUUCUUACUCAUAAUAUCUAUUUUCCCCAUUUCCUGGCUUAAAAAAAAUUUUUUUUCAGGUUGAUAUCCACAUUAAUGGAGAACAUGUUGAAACCUUUCAGGAAGAUCUCACCUUUACACUGGACACAUUGACUCCACCAAACUUACCCAAGAUAGAUGAUGACCUAAAAGUGGCUCACUGACUUAUCGCGUAGAAGAUCUGGCCUAUACAAGAAGUGGGGACAAAGGCAGCUCUGUGAAUAUAGAGCACAGGCUUCGGACGCGCAGGCCCAGCGGCCAUGGCUCAUGGGCCCAGCCGCUCCGCGGCAUGUGGGAUCUUCCAGUACCGGUGCACGAACCCGCGUCCCCUGCAUCGGCAGGCGGACCCUCAACCACUGCGCCACCAGGGAAGCCCUAAAGCUCAUAGUCUUUUGAAGUUAAUAUCCUUCAUUUGAUUUUGCAUCUAUCUUCCAUCCCCUUAUAUGAUAUAUGCUUAGUUUCAAAAAGUAAAGGAAUGAAAAUAAAUUUUCUUAUAAUUUCAUAAUACCCCUUGAGAUAAUUACAGCUGACAGAUAAAACAAGGAAUGCCUUGUAAAAUCUGAAUUUCAGAUAAACAAUGAAUAAUUUUUAGUAUAAGUAUGCCCCAUACCCUAAAUUAGACAUACCUAAAUCUGGCAACCCUAAAUUAGAGGAACUCUGGACAUUGCCAAAACAGGGAGAAUGACAUUCACUGCCAGGAGACUCACUCUGAGGGCAGCAAUUUGACGCUGUGUUCCCACCAAGUCCCCCCAUCUCUCCCAUCCCCACCUGACACACAGUAUCCUCACUGAGUCAGAGUAAGAUACUUCAAAUUAUCAAGUCAUCUUGAUCGAUCUUCAGCAUAAGUGCUUAUGAAUGUGCUGUUUUGUAUACAAUAGACAUCAUAACACGGCACCCUCUCAUAACACGGCACCCUCUCUACUACCCGUACUUAAAAAGAUUUCUAACUGCUCAAGCAAUGGAAGAUUAUUUCCAGCAUAUUCUGCAUAAAGAACCGCCUGAAGGGAAUUCAGUUAUAAGGUAUGGUUCAUCUUAAGUGAUUGAAUUACCACAUCUAUAUUUAGGACUUAUAAAUAGGUGAGGGUGUUGAUUUUGAAUUAAGAGAUCAAUAGCUUUUAUUUUGAUCCUAGGACUUUUAUCUUUUGCCCACAUUAUGGGAAGAACAAAAAAGCAGAAGACUUGAUCUUUAUUCUUCAAAAUGAAUUGGUGGUGUUGCUAAAUUGGCAUGCUUUCUACACCUGUUCAAUUGACAAGAUUUGGAGCAUCUAGAGGUCAACAUGAGACCCUUUGAUACAUGUUGAACUGGGUGGUCCAAAUACUAAACCUGGGAGAUGGGAGAGAGCUGUGUGCCAUGGGCUAGGGAAAAACCUGAUGGAAAAUGUUAUAUUGGCCCUUUAAAUGUUGCCUCAGUUUCAGAAUCUUAAUAUAAUUUAAUCACAUGCCAGAGAAUAUUUAUUAAUGAAACGUAAAUUUCUUUUGGUUGCUCAAUCUAAGUGAAAUGUAAAUAGUCUAACUUUUUUAAAAUUAGAGUUUUUAAAGACAUAAGAAAUAUAUUAAAAAUA
Molecule: long non-coding RNA, 1621 nt
Organism: Physeter macrocephalus (sperm whale)
Lineage: Eukaryota; Metazoa; Chordata; Mammalia; Artiodactyla; Physeteridae
Exons: 3
Source: RefSeq, a predicted model, not a curated record